RNAcentral lists this ribosomal RNA (1065 nucleotides) under Triticum aestivum (bread wheat). Its description in RNAcentral is "partial small subunit ribosomal RNA". Lineage: Eukaryota; Viridiplantae; Streptophyta; Magnoliopsida; Poales; Poaceae. The record is from RNAcentral.
AUGGAGGAAACAGCGAGAAACUACAUCAGCAAGCUCAUUGGCAGAAACUUAAUCCAACCAUCACAGCUGAAUCAUGAUGGCACCCAUAGGAGCUACGUUCUUCAUCCAGUAAUACACGACUUCAUCAUUUGCAAGUCCAUGGAAGACAACUUUGUCGCUCUGGUACAUGCUCAGCAGCAAGAUGUCCCACCUGUCAAUGGCACUGCCCGAUGGCUAUUUUUGCUGAAUAGUGGUAAGCAUGAUCAGGCCGCUACACAAAUCGAUGGGGCAAAAGUAUCUCGUUCUCGCUUGAUCACCGUAUUUUCUCACACCGGUCGCAUGCCUCGUCUAAAUGAACUCAGUGUACUGCGGGUUCUUGACCUUGAAGGCUGUCAAGGUCCACUGUGCCUUGAUGGUCUCUACGAAUUGCUGCUUAUGAGGUACUGGAACCUCAAGGUAACAGAUGUCAGUGAGCUCCCUACACAGAUUGGAGAGCUAAGAUGCCUGGAGACACUGGAUGUGAGAUCCACAAAGGUGAAAGAGCUACCUCCCAGCAUUCUCAGGCUGGAAAAGUUAAUGCAUUUGCUCGUCGGGAACGCCAAGUUGCCGAGUGGGAUAACCAAGAUGAAGUCACUGUUGAAACUUUCGUGCAGCAAUAUCGGGAAGAGUGUUGAUGUGGAUAUCAUUCAAGAGCUCAGUGAAAUGGCAAGCUUGCGGGAACUGAAGUUAUUUUGUAAUGUUCCUCGGACUUCUGAGGAUAAGAAACAAGUUGCAUUUCCAAGUGAUGGAUUUCAGAGUCUUAAGAAGAUUUCGAUAAGGUGCAGCUUGCCAUCUAUGACCUUUGUGACCGACGCUUUAUCGAAGGUUGAAGUUCUUGAGCUAAAGUUUGAAGAAGGCCUUUCAAAGGAGUCGAGUGGUGUGUCUGGCGUUGAGCAUCUGUCAGGCCUGAAGCAUAUGCUCAUCGAGUUUUCACAGCAUGAUGCGGGUGCUGCAGCAGCAAUGGCUGCAGUCAAGAAGGUUGCUGAGAAGGUCCACCCUAAUUGUCAAGUGAUCAUCAUGAACAUUGAUAAGAAGACUGACCAAUAG